Molecule: ribosomal RNA, 313 nt
Filed under: uncultured bacterium
Lineage: Bacteria
Description: bacterial SSU rRNA
Rfam family: Bacterial small subunit ribosomal RNA
Source: RNAcentral
GAUGAACGCUAGCGGCAGGCCUAACACAUGCAAGUCGAGGGGUAACGUGAUGUGCUUGCACAUUGGACGACGACCGGCGCACGGGGUGCGUAACGCGUAUACAAUUUGCCUUAUACUGGAGGAUAGCCCAGAGAAAUUUGGAUUAAUACUCCAUAACAUCAUGAAUUCGCAUGUUUUUAUGAUUAAAACUCCGGUGGUAUAAGAUAAGUACGCGUCCCAUUAGCUAGUUGGUAAGGUAACGGCUUACCAAGGCGACGAUGGGUAGGGGGCCUGAGAGGGUUAUCCCCCACACUGGUACUGAGACACGGACCAG